Molecule: long non-coding RNA, 1579 nt
Organism: Girardinichthys multiradiatus
Lineage: Eukaryota; Metazoa; Chordata; Actinopteri; Cyprinodontiformes; Goodeidae
Exons: 2
Source: RefSeq, a predicted model, not a curated record
GUUGCCAACACCUUGGCGCCUGAGUGUUUUUGCCUCCGUGGUAAUUUCUGGCCAGCUCUGAAAUCUUUGCAUCAUUUUUACCAUGGAUAUCUUUUGAAGGAUCUGUUGUUGCAAACUCUAACUUGCUUUGUUACCUGUUCCAGAUGUGAAUCCUACCUGAUCUGUUCCAGUCCUCUGUAGUGGCAAAGGCUACUUCCUGAUCUAGUCUGUGCAUGGCAAGCUGAACUCCUUUCCUGACAUUUAUUCUCUCCCUGGCGGGUUAUUCCGGAAUCUCCAUAAGGAAGAUUAGACUCGUUGCUCCUGUUGUUCCUGAUCAAUCUUUCAAUAAAAACUUAUUCCUUUUACAAAGUUCUCUGAGAGUCUCUGCAUGUGGAUUAAGUCGGCUGUAAAAAUCAUGACAGGUGAGCCAAAACACCUAUCACUCAAUAAGCUUUUGGAUACUUACAGUGAUGUAUUCAAUGAGAAGUUGGGCACAUUGAAAGACAUUAAAGCUACCAUUGGGGUCAAACCUGAAAUGCAGCCCAAAUUUUGUAAACAUUUUGUGUGCAAAAUUGCAUUUUGAACACAACAAGCGCACCGGGACACCCUGCCACAAACUGUUUGGCUGAAAGAUAUGUGCAGACAUUUAAAGUGGGCAUGAAAAAGCUAGCCAGCCGCUCGUGCAGCAUUGAGGACAAACUUUCAUUGUUUUUGCUGCAGUACCGUGUUAUGCCGAACUGCACAACAGGUCAGUCUCCAGCAGAAUUGUUCUUGCACAGACACAUCUGCACCAGACUGGAUUUCAUCAAACCUAACAUUGAGGAGACCGUUCGCAGGAAGCAGUAUCGACAAAAAGCUCAACAUGACUUCACUGCUGUGGACUGUUCCUUUUCUGUUGAUGGUGUAUCUUUGCAACACAGGGGGAGGAGUUCACAAGUGGACACCUGGACAGGUGGUAAGACAAACUGGUCCAGUCUCUUCUCUUAUGAAGUGAAAGGGUGGUACUCAAACACUGUGCACAGACGACAUGGGGUCCAGCUUUGUACCCAAACUGUAGCUGAACCAGAGAUCAAGGACUCUCAAACACCAACACAAGAGCAAAGUGAUGUAAACAUUACACCUGAACAAAGUGCUGUGGACUCUGGAGUGCACCCCCCUGGUUCCCCAGAUCCUUCAGUGGUUGUGAGGCAUUCCACGCGACCACAGAAUACGCCAAAACAAUAUCUGAAAUAACCUUGUGUUUAUCUAGGCAUAACAGUUAUGCAUGUUGUGUUCUGUUAUUAUUCUUGUUGCAUUAUGGGUUACAUCUGAGUUUAGAUGCAGAGGUAAACAGAAAGAAAAAAAAUUCUUGAUUAUCAAGCAAAUACAUAUUUGGGUCAUUGUUUGGUUCUAUAUGAAAAUGCACUUAAGCUGAAAUAAGUGACCUUAGUUUAUUUUAGUUAAUGUAGAUAAAAAAGUUAUUUCCAUCUAAAAGGGGAUGAUGUGGUGUAUUCACCCCUGUGAUUAUUCUGAGUUGGUUCAGUCCUUGUAUUCUGAGACGUGCAAGUUCUCUCUCUCUGUUCUUGGAAAAAUAGCACAACAAUAAAGAGGUACGAACAUA